CGUUGUUUUUAACAACAGCCAAUGCUUCUGUGCUCAUUAUUGCACUCGCGAUUUGAAAGAAGCGCCUUAGGGCAAUCGCAAGUUAACAUCAUCAUUAUCUGAGAGAUGAUACCUUCGGGUGAUAACCGCAAGAUAA
This 136-nucleotide small RNA is filed under the name Proteus vulgaris. RNAcentral's name for it is "STAXI". It matches the Rfam family "STAXI RNA". The record is from RNAcentral. Lineage: Bacteria; Pseudomonadati; Pseudomonadota; Gammaproteobacteria; Enterobacterales; Morganellaceae.